GCCUUUGUGGUGGAAUGGUAGACACGACUGAUUCAAAAUCAGUUGCUUUAGCAUGAGAGUUCAAAUCUCUCCAAAGGUA
This 79-nucleotide transfer RNA is filed under the name Stigeoclonium helveticum. RNAcentral describes it as "tRNA-Leu". It matches the Rfam family "tRNA". Rfam says of the family: Transfer RNA (tRNA) molecules are approximately 80 nucleotides in length. The record is from RNAcentral. Lineage: Eukaryota; Viridiplantae; Chlorophyta; Chlorophyceae; Chaetophorales; Chaetophoraceae.